AUUGAACGCUGGCGGCAUGCCUUACACAUGCAAGUCGAACGGCAGCACGGGUGCUUGCACCUGCUGGCGAGUGGCGCACGGGUGAGUAAUACAUCGGGACAUGUCCUGUAGUGGGGGAUAGCCCGGCGAAAGCCGGAUUAAUACCGCAUACGAUCUACGGAUGAAAGCGGGGGACCUUCGGGCCUCGCGCUAUAGGGUUGGCCGAUGGCUGAUUAGCUAGUUGGUGGGGUAAAGGCCUACCAAGGCGACGAUCAGUAGCUGGUCUGAGAGGACGACCAGCCACACUGGAACUGAGACACGGCCCAGACUCCUACGGGAGGCAGCAGUGGGGAAUCUUGGACAAUGGGCGAAAGCCUGAUCCAGCAAUGCCGCGUGUGUGAAGAAGGCCUUCGGGUUGUAAAGCACUUUUGUCCGGAAAGAAAUCCUGGGCCAUAAUACGGGCGGGGGAUGACGGUACCGGAAGAAUAAGCACCGGCUAACUACGUG
Molecule: ribosomal RNA, 486 nt
Filed under: uncultured bacterium
Lineage: Bacteria
Description: partial 16S ribosomal RNA
Rfam family: Bacterial small subunit ribosomal RNA
Source: RNAcentral